AGAUCUGAGAAAAGCAUUUGAUACCGUACACGAUAUUUUACUUAAAAAGCUUGAAAUAAAUGGAGUACGUGGUGGAUGGUGGUGCAUGGCCGUUCUUAGUUGGUGGAGCGAUUUGUCUGGUUAAUUCCGAUAACGAACGAGACUCUAGCCUAUUAAAUAGGUGCGUGGUUCUCUGCACCUUGCACCCUUCUUAGAGGGACAAGCGGCUCCUAGCCGCACGAAACAGAGCAACAACAGGUCUGUGAUGCCCUUAGAUGUCCGGGGCCGCACGCGCGCUACACUGAAGGAAACAGCGUGUUUUUAUCCCUGUCUGUAAAGACUGGGUAACCCGUGGAACCUCCUUCGUGAUUGGGAUAGGGGCUUGCAAUUGUUCCCCUUGAACGAGGAAUUCCCAGUAAGCGCGAGUCAUAAGCUCGCGUUGAUUAC
This 426-nucleotide ribosomal RNA is filed under the name Ixodes scapularis (black-legged tick). Its description in RNAcentral is "eukaryotic small subunit ribosomal RNA". It matches the Rfam family "Eukaryotic small subunit ribosomal RNA", at positions 1237 to 1648 of the family's 1831-position model. Lineage: Eukaryota; Metazoa; Arthropoda; Arachnida; Ixodida; Ixodidae. The record is from RNAcentral.